This 248-nucleotide ribosomal RNA is filed under the name uncultured bacterium. RNAcentral's name for it is "partial 16S ribosomal RNA". It matches the Rfam family "Bacterial small subunit ribosomal RNA", at positions 523 to 769 of the family's 1533-position model. The record is from RNAcentral.
ACACGGGGGGCGCAAGCGUUAUUCGGAAUUAUUGGGCGUAAAGGGCGCGCAGGCGGUCUUGUCCGUCAGGUGUGAAAGCUCGGGGCUCAACCCCGGAAGUGCACUUGAAACAACAAGACUUGAAUACGGGAGAGGGAAAGCGGAAUUCCUGGUGUAGAGGUGAAAUUCGUAGAUAUCAGGAGGAACACCGAUGGCGAAGGCAGCUUUCUGGACCGAUAUUGACGCUGAGGCGCGAAGGCGUGGGUAGC